RNAcentral lists this transfer RNA (74 nucleotides) under Microlophus stolzmanni. Its description in RNAcentral is "tRNA-Asx". The record is from RNAcentral. Lineage: Eukaryota; Metazoa; Chordata; Lepidosauria; Squamata; Tropiduridae.
AUCCCACAAAAAAUUAAUUAACAGCUAACCACCCAAACCAGCGGGCUUCCAUUUGCUUCUCCCGUUAUUAUAAA